UACGUAGGGUGCAAGCGUUGUCCGGAAUUAUUGGGCGUAAAGAGCUGUAGGCGGUUGUCGCGUCUGCUGUAGAAAUUUCGGGCCUCACCCGAACUUGCAGUGGGGUACGGGCAGACUAGAGUGUGGUAGGGGAGACUGGAAUUCCUGGUGUAGCGGUGAAAUGCGCAGAUAUCAGGAGGAACACCGAUGGCGAAGGCAGGUCUCUGGGCCAAUAACUGACGCUGAGAAGCGAAAGCUGGGGAGCGAACAGG
This 251-nucleotide ribosomal RNA is filed under the name uncultured bacterium. RNAcentral's name for it is "partial 16S ribosomal RNA". It matches the Rfam family "Bacterial small subunit ribosomal RNA", at positions 524 to 776 of the family's 1533-position model. The record is from RNAcentral.